CUUUUUUCGUAUUUGGAUUUAUCUCGUGGUU
Molecule: transfer RNA, 31 nt
Filed under: Chlamydacanthus euphorbioides
Lineage: Eukaryota; Viridiplantae; Streptophyta; Magnoliopsida; Lamiales; Acanthaceae
Description: partial tRNA-Ala
Source: RNAcentral